RNAcentral lists this long non-coding RNA (837 nucleotides) under Phaseolus vulgaris (common bean). Its description in RNAcentral is "long non-coding RNA (PVUL_LNC005273)". Lineage: Eukaryota; Viridiplantae; Streptophyta; Magnoliopsida; Fabales; Fabaceae. The record is from RNAcentral.
AAAACAAAUAUGUUUGGAUGAUCCAAUGUAAUUUCUGGCUGUGAUUGAUCCAACAUGUUGACUUUCAUACAAUUACACUUCUGAAAAGAAAAAGUAUGAUAUCAUACGCAUUGAUACUAAAUUUUUGUCCACUGGCUGCUUGUUGGUACGAACCUGGUAAUUAUUCAUAUGGCAGGAUGAUAAAAAUGCAGAUUUCGACAUUGCCAAAUGCCAAGGACUUGUUAUCUGAUAAUGAAUGAGAAUUGUAAAUGGUUCCAGUUGAAUUGAAUUUUGAUCUAAAACUCAGCUACCAACGAAAUCAUCAAAUGGUGAUACUCAUUAGUAAAAUGAAUUUCUGUUCCAUUCCAGCAGCAUACUUCAAACCUAAAACCCUGCUUUGUUCAUGGAAUGAAUCAAUGAAUCCAGUGUAUGAUCAUGACAUGAAUUUGCUAUAAGGAAACUACCUGAUAAAAAUAAUCAAUAUAUUGUUUGAAUCACUUUAGUUCCCCUACUACCAUUUUAACUAAUUUGCUAACUGAAGAUGGUAAACGAAAUCUUGAUCAAGCUUGUGGCCUCCAAUCAAUCACACACGCUUUUGCUUUACAGUUUUGGCAGCUUCCUUGGCAAGCAAGAAGUGAACCCCCCUAACCAGUUCUUCUUUUAUAGUGAAUAUAACAGCAGCAGCAAGCACACUUUGUACAAUUUUUGUUCCCAUACCUUUGUAAAACCCAUUCAACCCCUCAUAGCGAAUCAUUUUAAUAAUAGCAUCCCAAGUACCUGAAUUUAAAGAAAAUUAUGCACAUUUAGAGAGCAAAGGAAGAAAAGAUUAAAAUUUCUAAAAGUUCAAACUUAGUUUUC